Triticum aestivum (bread wheat) is the source of this 506-nucleotide long non-coding RNA. RefSeq lists it as uncharacterized. The transcript has 3 exons. Lineage: Eukaryota; Viridiplantae; Streptophyta; Magnoliopsida; Poales; Poaceae. The record is from RefSeq and is a predicted model, not a curated record.
GCACGUCGCCGCCGCCGAUGCACACGCGUCGUUGAUCCUGCGGUUUGACGGAGGGGAUAAGAGCAAGCCCCUGCACCCCCUCACUCUUCCCCUGUAACCCUAGCACGCCCGUUCCCCUCGCUCGUCUCUCUCCCCCUCGAGUUCGUCCGCGCCCAAAGACGCAAUCGCCGCCGCCCCAUCGUUACAAUGGCCACCGAGUUCCCCGCGGGCUGAAACCUUGCCAGGAGACGCGCCGGGCUCCUCUACUUCGACUACAGCCACCAGUUCGAGCCGGGGCGCCGUCAAUCGUCGGGAUCGAGCCUUCUUCCCCAUCGUCCACCGCAUGCCUCUCGCCGUCGUGCCGCCCCUCCGGUCCGCCCCCGACCUCCUCGAGCUCACCAUUAACUCCGGGACUACGAGACUAACGCCGCUACCCAGUACGACUACGGUGUUGACGACCCCUCUCUUUUGCCAGAGCAACCAGACGAUGGAGUCCAGGAGCCAGACGCCACCAUCGACGACGACUC